AUUGAACGCUGGCGGCAGGCCUAACACAUGCAAGUCGAGCGGUAGAGAGGUGCUUGCAUCUCUUGAGAGCGGCGGACGGGUGAGUAAUGCCUAGGAAUCUGCCUAGUGGUGGGGGAUAACGUUCGGAAACGGACGCUAAUACCGCAUACGUCCUACGGGAGAAAGCGGGGGAUCUUCGGACCUCGCGCCAUUAGAUGAGCCUAGGUCGGAUUAGCUAGUUGGUGAGGUAAUGGCUCACCAAGGCGACGAUCCGUAACUGGUCUGAGAGGAUGAUCAGUCACACUGGAACUGAGACACGGUCCAGACUCCUACGGGAGGCAGCAGUGGGGAAUAUUGGACAAUGGCGAAAGACCUGAUCCAGCCAUGCCGCGUGUGUGAAGAAGGUCUUCGGAUUGUAAAGUCACUUUAAGUUGGGAGGAAGGGUAGUAACCUAAUACGUUGCUACUUUGACGUUACCGACAG
RNAcentral lists this ribosomal RNA (462 nucleotides) under uncultured bacterium. RNAcentral describes it as "bacterial SSU rRNA". It matches the Rfam family "Bacterial small subunit ribosomal RNA", at positions 30 to 484 of the family's 1533-position model. The record is from RNAcentral.